RNAcentral lists this transfer RNA (76 nucleotides) under Acinetobacter baumannii 1546444. RNAcentral's name for it is "tRNA-Val". It matches the Rfam family "tRNA". Rfam says of the family: Transfer RNA (tRNA) molecules are approximately 80 nucleotides in length. Their secondary structure includes four short double-helical elements and three loops (D, anti-codon, and T loops). The record is from RNAcentral. Lineage: Bacteria; Pseudomonadati; Pseudomonadota; Gammaproteobacteria; Moraxellales; Moraxellaceae.
GGGCGCUUAACUCAGUUGGUAGAGAGUCUGCCUUACAAGCAGAAUGUCGGCGGUUCGAUCCCGUCAGCGCCCACCA